GACGAACGCUGGCGGCGUGCUUAACACAUGCAAGUCGAACGGAAAGGCCCUGCUUUUGUGGGGUGCUCGAGUGGCGAACGGGUGAGUAACACGUGAGUAACCUGCCCUUGACUUUGGGGUAACUUCAGGAAACUGGGGCUAAUACCGGAUAGUAGCUCCUGCUGCAUGGUGGGGGUUGGAAAGUUUCGGCGGUUGGGGAUGGACUCGCGGCUUAUCAGCUUGUUGGUGGGGUAGUGGCUUACCAAGGCUUUGACGGGUAGCCGGCCUGAGAGGGUGACCGGCCACAUUGGGACUGAGAUACGGCCCAGAGGCAUACGGGAGGCAGCAGUGGGGAAUAUUGCACAAUGGGCGGAAGCAUGAAGCAGCAACGCCGCGUGCGGGAGGACGGCCUUCGGGUUGGAAACCGUGUGCGCCUGGGACGAAGCGUGAGUGACGGUAAUGGGUAAAGAAGCACCGGCUAACUACGUG
Molecule: ribosomal RNA, 468 nt
Filed under: uncultured bacterium
Lineage: Bacteria
Description: partial 16S ribosomal RNA
Rfam family: Bacterial small subunit ribosomal RNA
Source: RNAcentral